UACAGAGGGUGCAAGCGUUGUUCGGAAUGAUUGGGCGUAAAGGGCGCGUAGGCGGUGCGGUAAGUCACCUGUGAAAUCUCCCGGCUUAACUGGGAACCUGCAGGCGAAACUACCGUGCUGGAGUGUGGGAGAGGUGGGUGGAAUUCCCGGUGUAGCGGUGAAAUGGGUAGAUAUCGGGAGGAACACCUGUGGCGAAAGCGGCGCACUGGACCAUAACUGACGCUGAUGCGCGAAAGCUAGGGGAGCAAACAGG
Molecule: unclassified non-coding RNA, 253 nt
Filed under: uncultured Terriglobales bacterium
Lineage: Bacteria; Pseudomonadati; Acidobacteriota; Terriglobia; Terriglobales
Description: uncultured Acidobacteriales bacterium contains 16S-23S intergenic spacer region
Rfam family: Bacterial small subunit ribosomal RNA
Source: RNAcentral